AAAUUGAAGAGUUUGAUCAUGGCUCAGAUUGAACGCUGGCGGCAGGCCUAACACAUGCAAGUCGAGCGGAAACGACAYUAACAAUCCUUCGGGUGCGUUAAUGGGCGUCGAGCGGCGGACGGGUGAGUAAUGCCUAGGAAAUUGCCUUGAUGUGGGGGAUAACCAUUGGAAACGAUGGCUAAUACCGCAUGAUGCCUACGGGCCAAAGAGGGGGACCUUCGGGCCUCUCGCGUCAAGAUAUGCCUAGGUGGGAUUAGCUAGUUGGUGAGGUAAUGGCUCACCAAGGCGACGAUCCCGGGUUGUAAAGUACUUUCAGUUGUGAGGAAGGGUGUGUAGUUAAUAGCUGCGCAUCUUGACGUUAGCAACAGAAGAAGCACCGGCUAACUCCGUGCCAGCAGCCGCGGUAAUACGGAGGGUGCGAGCGUUAAUCGGAAUUACUGGGCGUAAAGCGCAUGCAGGUGGUUCAUUAAGUCAGAUGUGAAAGCCCGGGGCUCAACCUCGGAACUGCAUUUGAAACUGGUGAACUAGAGUACUGUAGAGGGGGGUAGAAUUUCAGGUGUAGCGGUGAAAUGCGUAGAGAUCUGAAGGAAUACCAGUGGCGAAGGCGGCCCCCUGGACAGAUACUGACACUCAGAUGCGAAAGCGUGGGGAGCAAACAGGAUUAGAUACCCUGGUAGUCCACGCCGUAAACGAUGUCUACUUGGAGGUUGUGGCCUUGAGCCGUGGCUUUCGGAGCUAACGCGUUAAGUAGACCGCCUGGGGAGUACGGUCGCAAGAUUAAAACUCAAAUGAAUUGACGGGGGCCCGCACAAGCGGUGGAGCAUGUGGUUUAAUUCGAUGCAACGCGAAGAACCUUACCUACUCUUGACAUCCAGAGAAGCCAGCGGAGACGCAGGUGUGCCUUCGGGARCUCUGAGACAGGUGCUGCAUGGCUGUCGUCAGCUCGUGUUGUGAAAUGUUGGGUUAAGUCCCGCAACGAGCGCAACCCUUAUCCUUGUUUGCCAGCGAGUCAUGUCGGGAACUCCAGGGAGACUGCCGGUGAUAAACCGGAGGAAGGUGGGGACGACGUCAAGUCAUCAUGGCCCUUACGAGUAGGGCUACACACGUGCUACAAUGGCGCAUACAGAGGGCAGCAAGCUAGCGAUAGUGAGCGAAUCCCAAAAAGUGCGUCGUAGUCCGGAUUGGAGUCUGCAACUCGACUCCAUGAAGUCGGAAUCGCUAGUAAUCGUGAAUCAGAAUGUCACGGUGAAUACGUUCCCGGGCCUUGUACACACCGCCCGUCACACCAUGGGAGUGGGCUGCAAAAGAAGUGGGUAGUUUAACCUUUCGRGGAGGACGCUCACCACUUUGUGGUUCAUGACUGGGGUGA
Molecule: ribosomal RNA, 1369 nt
Filed under: Vibrio cyclitrophicus
Lineage: Bacteria; Pseudomonadati; Pseudomonadota; Gammaproteobacteria; Vibrionales; Vibrionaceae
Description: bacterial SSU rRNA
Rfam family: Bacterial small subunit ribosomal RNA
Source: RNAcentral